Molecule: long non-coding RNA, 269 nt
Filed under: Physcomitrium patens
Lineage: Eukaryota; Viridiplantae; Streptophyta; Bryopsida; Funariales; Funariaceae
Description: long non-coding RNA (PPAT_LNC013488)
Source: RNAcentral
UGUACUUACGAUCUUGUAUCCACUGACUAUCCUGUUAGAUUAACCCAAUAAAUUUCAUUCAUUCCGCAUACUCAAUCCUAUAGACACCCCUUUAAUCCUUCAAUCACAGACGUAACUCGAUUUUACAAAACAGUCAAGAGUAUUCAAACCCACUUCAUUUAAAAAUCCCGAUUCACCAUUACAACACUAACUUCAGCAGCGAUUGCCUCAGUCUUCCCAAAACUCUAUGAAGAAGAAAAAUCCAAAUUCUAUGUCUUUCCUUCCCCGAC